UAACCUGUGGUGUAAUGGUAACACUCAAGAUUUUGAUUCUUGUAUUAUAGGUUCGAAUCCUAUCAGGUUAU
This 71-nucleotide transfer RNA is filed under the name Winogradskyella echinorum. RNAcentral describes it as "tRNA-Gln". It matches the Rfam family "tRNA". From Rfam's summary of the family: Transfer RNA (tRNA) molecules are approximately 80 nucleotides in length. Their secondary structure includes four short double-helical elements and three loops (D, anti-codon, and T loops). The record is from RNAcentral. RNAcentral also lists the same sequence under 1 other name. Lineage: Bacteria; Pseudomonadati; Bacteroidota; Flavobacteriia; Flavobacteriales; Flavobacteriaceae.